AUUGAACGCUGGCGGCAGGCCUAACACCUGCAAGUCGAACGAGUGGCGGACGGGUGAGUAAUGUCUGGGCAACUGCCUGAUGGAGGGGGAUAACUACUGGAAACGGUAGCUAAUACCGCAUACCCUCAGAUGUGCCCGGAUGGGAUUAGCUGGUUGGUGGGGUAAAGGCUGACCUAGGCGACGAUCCCUAGCUGGUCGGAGAGGAUGACCAGCCACACGGGAACUGAGACACGGUCCAGAAUCCUACGGGAGGCAGCAGUGGGGACUAUUGCACAAUGGGCGCAAGCCUGAUGCAGCCAUGCCGCGUGUAUGAAGAAGGCCUUCGGGUUGUAAAGUACUUUCAGCGGGGAGGCGUUACCCGCAGAAGAAGCACCGGCUAACUCCGUGCCAGCAGCCGCGGUAAUAC
RNAcentral lists this ribosomal RNA (406 nucleotides) under uncultured bacterium. RNAcentral's name for it is "partial 16S ribosomal RNA". It matches the Rfam family "Bacterial small subunit ribosomal RNA", at positions 30 to 526 of the family's 1533-position model. The record is from RNAcentral.